UCCUCCCUCUGUCGGCGUGCUUAACACAUGCAAGUCGAACGGAAAGGCCCUGCUUUUGUGGGGUGCUCGAGUGGCGAACGGGUGAGUAACACGUGAGUAACCUGCCCUUGACUUUGGGAUAACUUCAGGAAACUGGGGCUAAUACCGGAUAGGAGCUCCUGCUGCAUGGUGGGGGUUGGAAAGUUUCGGCGGUUGGGGAUGGACUCGCGGCUUAUCAGCUUGUUGGUGGGGUAGUGGCUUACCAAGGCUUUGACGGGUAGACGGCCUGAGAGGGUGACCGGCCACAUUGGGACUGAGAUACGGCCCAGACUCCUACGGGAGGCAGCAGUGGGGAAUAUUGCACAAUGGGCGGAAGCCUGAUGCAGCAACGCCGCGUGCGGGAUGACGGCCUUCGGGUUGUAAACCGCUUUCGCCUGUGACGAAGCGUGAGUGACGGUAAUGGGUAAAGAAGCACCGGCUAACUACGUG
Molecule: ribosomal RNA, 468 nt
Filed under: uncultured bacterium
Lineage: Bacteria
Description: partial 16S ribosomal RNA
Rfam family: Bacterial small subunit ribosomal RNA
Source: RNAcentral